GUUGCAGGGUAUAGACCCGAAACCCGGUGAUCUAGCCAUGGGCAGGUUGAAGGUUGGGUAACACUAACUGGAGGACCGAACCGACUAAUGUUGAAAAAUUAGCGGAUGACCUGUGGCUGGGGGUGAAAGGCCAAUCAAACCGGGAGAUAGCUGGUUCUCCCCGAAAGCUAUUUAGGUAGCGCCUCGUGAAUUCAUCUCCGGGGGUAGAGCACUGUUUCGGCUAGGGGGCCAUCCCGGCUUACCAACCCGAUGCAAACUGCGAAUACCGGAGAAUGUUAUCACGGGAGACACACGGCGGGUGCUAACGUCCGUCGUGAAGAGGGAAACAACCCAGACCGCCAGCUAAGGUCCCAAAGUCAUGGUUAAGUGGGAAACGAUGUGGGAAGGCCCAGACAGCCAGGAUGUUGGCUUAGAAGCAGCCAUCAUUUAAAGAAAGCGUAAUAGCUCACUGGUCGAGUCGGCCUGCGCGGAAGAUGUAACGGGGCUAAACCAUGCACCGAAGCUGCGGCAGCGACACUGUGUGUUGUUGGGUAGGGGAGCGUUCUGUAAGCCUGUGAAGGUGUGUCGUGAGGCAUGCUGGAGGUAUCAGAAGUGCGAAUGCUGACAUAAGUAACGAUAAAGCGGGUGAAAAGCCCGCUCGCCGGAAGACCAAGGGUUCCUGUCCAACGUUAAUCGGGGCAGGGUGAGUCGACCCCUAAGGCGAGGCCGAAAGGCGUAGUCGAUGGGAAACGGGUUAAUAUUCCCGUACUUGGUGUUACUGCGAAGGGGGGACGGAGAAGGCUAUGUUGGCCGGGCGACGGUUGUCCCGGUUUAAGCGUGUAGGUGUGUGUUCCAGGUAAAUCCGGUU
This 847-nucleotide ribosomal RNA is filed under the name Salmonella enterica subsp. enterica serovar Newport. RNAcentral's name for it is "partial 23S ribosomal RNA". It matches the Rfam family "Bacterial large subunit ribosomal RNA", at positions 699 to 1547 of the family's 2925-position model. The record is from RNAcentral. Lineage: Bacteria; Pseudomonadati; Pseudomonadota; Gammaproteobacteria; Enterobacterales; Enterobacteriaceae.